RNAcentral lists this ribosomal RNA (248 nucleotides) under Forcipiger flavissimus. RNAcentral's name for it is "partial 12S ribosomal RNA". It matches the Rfam family "Bacterial small subunit ribosomal RNA", at positions 801 to 1206 of the family's 1533-position model. The record is from RNAcentral. Lineage: Eukaryota; Metazoa; Chordata; Actinopteri; Chaetodontiformes; Chaetodontidae.
UAAACAUUGACAGUCCAUUACAUCCACUGUCCGCCUGGGUACUACGAGCAUCAGCUUAAAACCCAAAGGACUUGGCGGUGCUUUAGAUCCACCUAGAGGAGCCUGUUCUAGAACCGAUAAUCCCCGUUAAACCUCACCCUUCCUUGUUCUUUCCGCCUAUAUACCACCGUCGUCAGCUUACCCUGUGAAGGACCCAUACUAAGCACAAUUGGUAUAACCCAAAACGUCAGGUCGAGGUGUAGCGUAUG